GUCUGAAAUGCAGAAGACAGAAGAUGAGCUCUGGCUCUUCACCUGCAUGGCUGGUGGCAGUGUGGCCUCAGUCUUCUGGGGCUUGAGGAGCUCUGACACUGGUCAGGUCAGAGGCACCCACUCACCCACUGCUGCCCAUAGCUGUCUUCCACAUCGUUGAUCCAGCGGUCAUCCCAGUCCACUCGGAGGCCCAACAGGUGAAGUGGGAGGAAGCCGUUCUCAGCCAGAAUCACAAAGUGAAGUAUACAAAAAUAAAGAUUCCCAUCUGAUAAACAAAUGUUAACUGCUGCCUUGAAGAAUGGUAAUACUGAUUCUGUGAUGCUGGGAUUGGGACACACACUGGAUAUUGGUCCUGAGAAUUUGUUUUCCCAACGCCAGCCUCAUGGAUUUCGGGAGCACAGUGCCAGUGAAUGAAGACACAGCUCACAUCUCACUACUGUCGAUCUGUGGCGGUUGUGACACUCACCAUGUCAGUGCCCAAGUCAAUGCAGAGGAUGGUGACAGUCCCCAGUGGUAGUGGAAUGUUUGCAAUAAUAAAUAUCAGGAACGGG
RNAcentral lists this small RNA (551 nucleotides) under Pongo abelii (Sumatran orangutan). RNAcentral describes it as "processed transcript". The record is from RNAcentral. Lineage: Eukaryota; Metazoa; Chordata; Mammalia; Primates; Hominidae.